CAGCAGCCACGGGAAUACAGAGGGUGCGAGCGUUAAUCGGAUUUACUGGGCGUAAAGCGUGCGUAGGCGGCUUCUUAAGUCGGAUGUGAAAUCCCUGAGCUUAACUUAGGAAUUGCAUUCGAUACUGGGAAGCUAGAGUAUGGGAGAGGAUGGUAGAAUUCCAGGUGUAGCGGUGAAAUGCGUAGAGAUCUGGAGGAAUACCGAUGGCGAAGGCAGCCAUCUGGCCUAAUACUGACGCUGAGGUACGAAAGCAUGGGGAGCAAACAGGAUUAGAGACCCGAGUAGUCCCUGUCUCUUAUAC
This 301-nucleotide ribosomal RNA is filed under the name uncultured bacterium. RNAcentral describes it as "partial 16S ribosomal RNA". It matches the Rfam family "Bacterial small subunit ribosomal RNA", at positions 509 to 807 of the family's 1533-position model. The record is from RNAcentral.